AGAGUUUGAUCCUGGCUCAGAACGAACGCUGGCGGCAGGCCUCAUACAUGCAAGUCGAGCGGUCCUUCGGGACAGCGGCGAACGGGUUAGUAACGCGUGGGAACGUGCCCUUUAGUACGGAAUAGCCAUUGGAAACGAUGAUUAAUACCGUAUACGCCCCAAGGGGGAAAGAUUUAUCGCUAAAGGAUCGGCCCGCGUUAGAUUAGGUAGUUGGUAGGGUAAUGGCCUACCAAGCCGACGAUCUAUAGCUGGUUUGAGAGGAUGAUCAGCAACACUGGGACUGAGACACGGCCCAGACUUCUACGGAAGGCAGCAGUAGGGAAUCUUGGACAAUGGGCGAAAGCCUGAUCCAGCCAUGCCGCGUGAGUGAUGAAGGCCCUAGGGUUGUAAAGCUCUUUCGCCAGGGAAGAUAAUGACGGUACCUGGUAAAGAAACCCCGGCUAACUCCGUGCCAGCAGCCGCGGUAAUACGGAGGGGGUUAGCGUUGUUCGGAAUUACUGGGCGUAAAGCGCACGUAGGCGGAUUAAUAAGUCAGGGGUGAAAUCCCGAGGCUCAACCUCGGAACUGCCUUUGAUACUGUUAAUCUUGAGUUCGAGAGAG
This 600-nucleotide ribosomal RNA is filed under the name uncultured marine bacterium. RNAcentral describes it as "bacterial SSU rRNA". It matches the Rfam family "Bacterial small subunit ribosomal RNA", at positions 8 to 656 of the family's 1533-position model. The record is from RNAcentral.